UAAAUCUGCUAGGGGUGCUACAGAAGUAGCUGAGAUAAGAAUGAUGUUCUUAAUCCCUUUGAACCUGAACUGGUUAACCCCAGCGUAGGAAAGUGGAGUCGGAUGGUG
Molecule: regulatory RNA element, 108 nt
Organism: Gracilibacillus kekensis
Lineage: Bacteria; Bacillati; Bacillota; Bacilli; Caryophanales; Bacillaceae
Rfam family: TPP riboswitch aptamer (THI element)
About the family: Vitamin B(1) in its active form thiamin pyrophosphate (TPP) is an essential coenzyme that is synthesised by coupling of pyrimidine and thiazole moieties in bacteria. The previously detected thiamin-regulatory element, thi box was extended, resulting in a new, highly conserved RNA secondary structure, the THI element, which is widely distributed in eubacteria and also occurs in some archaea. Analysis of operon structures identified a large number of new candidate thiamin-regulated genes, mostly transporters, in various prokaryotic organisms.
Source: Rfam